ACACGACUACAUUAGAUACCCGGGUAGUCCCUAGCCGUAAACGAUACUCGCUAGGUGUCGGCCACGGUGCGACCGUUGUCGGUGCCGUAGGGAAGCCGUGAAGCGAGCCACCUGGGAAGUACGGCCGCAAGGCUGAAACUUAAAGGAAUUGGCGGGGGAGCACCACAACGGGUGGAGCUUGCGGUUUAAUUGGAUUCAACGCCGGAAAUCUUACCGGGACCGACAGCAACAUGAAGGCCAGGCUGAAGACUUUGCCGGAUUAGCUG
RNAcentral lists this ribosomal RNA (266 nucleotides) under uncultured archaeon. RNAcentral describes it as "partial 16S ribosomal RNA". It matches the Rfam family "Archaeal small subunit ribosomal RNA", at positions 717 to 982 of the family's 1478-position model. The record is from RNAcentral.